Molecule: transfer RNA, 58 nt
Filed under: Streptomyces somaliensis DSM 40738
Lineage: Bacteria; Bacillati; Actinomycetota; Actinomycetes; Kitasatosporales; Streptomycetaceae
Description: tRNA-Trp
Rfam family: tRNA
About the family: Transfer RNA (tRNA) molecules are approximately 80 nucleotides in length. Their secondary structure includes four short double-helical elements and three loops (D, anti-codon, and T loops).
Source: RNAcentral
AGCUCAAUUGGUAGAGCACUGGUCUCCAAAACCAGCGGUUGGGGGUUCAAGUCCCUCC